GAGCGAACUUUACUACGUGCUAGAGCUUUGUGCUAUGGUCGAUUAGUUUAGAGUGUUAUAAUAUUAUAUUUUAUUACACACAGUGCAUACACUUUUAAAUAUAAUCAUAACUAAACAUUCAUAUAAAAUGGUGAUAUUUGGACGAUAGUAAGUGAUUUUUACCACAGAGUGUUCGUAUUGUAGAGUUAUGGCUGGUGAUUUCAGAAGUGUGAGGACAUCGUUAUGCUAAUUUACUUCCCAUGUUACCGGGUUUCACCUAUGUACCUGGUUUCAGAAGGUGCGUUAAAUAAUUGGUGUGUCGGUAGAGAUGGUGAAGUGAGCGCGGCGAAAUGGUGCCGUGUCUGGUAGCUCUGCUGCUGCUCGCCCGGGUCUUCGGCUUGCGUGCUCUGGACAUAU
This is a long non-coding RNA of Melitaea cinxia (Glanville fritillary), 396 nucleotides long. RefSeq lists it as uncharacterized. The transcript is spliced from 2 exons. The record is from RefSeq and is a predicted model, not a curated record. NCBI's taxonomy places the organism in Eukaryota, Metazoa, Arthropoda, Insecta, Lepidoptera, Nymphalidae.